UCCUUUGUGCCUCUUUUAUAUCUACAAAUCCCUAAAGAAAAUCUGAAACCGGUAUCGUCCUUCGCGUAAACUCUGAGCAUUCAAGUUACAACACUGACGGUUGUGUCUUGUUUCAAAAAAAAAGUGUGUGUAAGUGUUAUAUCUGCUCUUGUUCUUAGUUAUUAAAAAAACAAAGUAUCAAAAAAAAGGAAUGUGAAAAAAAAGAGAGUUGAGGAAGAAAAGUUG
RNAcentral lists this long non-coding RNA (225 nucleotides) under Sorghum bicolor (sorghum). Its description in RNAcentral is "long non-coding RNA (SBIC_LNC015826)". Lineage: Eukaryota; Viridiplantae; Streptophyta; Magnoliopsida; Poales; Poaceae. The record is from RNAcentral.